CCUGUGGAUCCCCUCUAUGAAUCUUGCCUCAAACUUCCCAAUCAUCAUCCACUUUUUAGCCAGAUCCUUGGGUAAUUCUUCUGCACACUCUUAACUGAAGCACUUCAGUCUCUAUCUGCAUGCCAAAGCCACUUGAAAAUUUUACUCACCUGUGUUAAUACGUAAUUUCCAAAAAGAAGUACCUUUUAAAGCCUAACGUACCUUCUUUCAAGACCCUCUCGUCUGUUAAGGGUUUGAAUAAAGGUUCUAACUGCAGUU
This 258-nucleotide long non-coding RNA is filed under the name Bos taurus (domestic cattle). RNAcentral's name for it is "long non-coding RNA NONBTAT024132". Lineage: Eukaryota; Metazoa; Chordata; Mammalia; Artiodactyla; Bovidae. The record is from RNAcentral.